Molecule: ribosomal RNA, 363 nt
Filed under: uncultured bacterium
Lineage: Bacteria
Description: bacterial SSU rRNA
Rfam family: Bacterial small subunit ribosomal RNA
Source: RNAcentral
AUUGAACGCUGGCGGCAUGCCUUACACAUGCAAGUCGAACGGCAGCACGGGAGCUUGCUCCUGGUGGCGAGUGGCGAACGGGUGAGUAAUACAUCGGAACGUACCCUGAAGUGGGGGAUAACGUAGCGAAAGUUACGCUAAUACCGCAUAUUCUGUGAGCAGGAAAGAGGGGGAUCGCAAGACCUCUUGCUUUAGGAGCGGCCGAUGUCGGAUUAGCUAGUUGGUGAGGUAAAGGCUCACCAAGGCGACGAUCCGUAGCGGGUCUGAGAGGAUGAUCCGCCACACUGGGACUGAGACACGGCCCAGACUCCUACGGGAGGCAGCAGUGGGGAAUUUUGGACAAUGGGCGCAAGCCUGAUCCAG